This 339-nucleotide ribosomal RNA is filed under the name uncultured eukaryote. RNAcentral's name for it is "SSU rRNA". It matches the Rfam family "Eukaryotic small subunit ribosomal RNA", at positions 618 to 967 of the family's 1831-position model. The record is from RNAcentral.
GUUAAAAAGCUCGUAGUUGGAUUUCUGUUGAGGUCGGGCGGUGUACCCUCUGUAUUAUUUGCUUCGGUCUCGCUCCUCUUGGGGAACGUACGGACCUUCAUUGGACUGUGCGAGAUUCAAGACUUUUACUUUGAGGAAAUUAGAGUGUUCACGGCAGGCAAGUGCUUUGAAUACAUUAGCAUGGAAUAAUAAUAUAGGACCUUCGUUCUAUUUUGUUGGUUUCUAGAACUUAGGUAAUGAUUAAUAGGGACAAUUGGGGGCAUUCGUAUUAACGCGUCAGAGGUGGAAUUCUUGGAUUGCGUUACGACGAACUACUGCGAAAGCAUUUGCCAAAGAUGU